GGACNNAAGUCUGAUCCAGCCAUGCCGCGUGAAGGAUUAAGGCCCUCUGGGUUGUAAACUUCUUUUAUAGGGGACGAAAAAAGGGCUUUCUAGCUCGACUGACGGUACCCUAUGAAUAAGCACCGGCUAACUCCGUGCCAGCAGCCGCGGUAAUACGGAGGGUGCAAGCGUUAUCCGGAUUCACUGGGUUUAAAGGGUGCGUAGGCGGGCAGUUAAGUCAGUGGUGAAAUCUUCGAGCUCAACUCGGAAACUGCCAUUGAUACUAUCUGUCUUGAAUAUUGUGGAGGUGAGCGGAAUAUGUCAUGUAGCGGUGAAAUGCUUAGAUAUGACAUAGAACACCAAUUGCGUAGGCAGCUCGCUACACAAAUAUUGACGCUGAGGCACGAAAGCGUGGGGAUCAAACAGGAUUAGAUACCCUGGUAGUCCACGCCCUAAACUAUGAUUACUCGACAUAUGCGAUACACUGUAUGUGUCU
RNAcentral lists this ribosomal RNA (475 nucleotides) under uncultured bacterium. RNAcentral describes it as "bacterial SSU rRNA". It matches the Rfam family "Bacterial small subunit ribosomal RNA", at positions 373 to 848 of the family's 1533-position model. The record is from RNAcentral.